AGUGAAGGAUGGUUUCCAGGACUGGUCCCCUGCCCCACUCCUCACCUCCAACAAGACCACUGCAGCAUCCCCCACCCAGGCCCUGUCUGCAUCCUCUCCUUCCCUCUGGUCCCAGGAAUACCGAGUCAUGAGGGAGAUCCUGCUGCUCCAGGAGGCUGCAAAGAAUUACAACCUAGAGCCCGAGGGAGCGAUUUGGGGCCUCGUUCCAGGACAUGGAGUUGCUCAAAGAGAAUGAGAGCUACAGCUUGUCCUGCGAGCCAGAGCGCUAGACCUACUUGGCCUGCAGAGUACGCAAGGCCAAGAAGAACCGGCCAUCAUCAAGGUCAGGGGGAGACUGAGAUCUCAAAAUUAUCAAGAAGCUGAAGCUCCCCAACUCCCGCUUCCUGGCGCUGAAUCCACCAUUCAUCACAGGGACAGACAAACAGAGGACACCUGCAGCUCCCCUAACUCAGCUAAACGCAGGCUGAUGGGAGGACGCCGAACUGCAAAGCCGCAGCUCCCCUACCCCACCUAAAACCUUGUAAACUGUAAUGGUUAAUUGGCAAUAGUUGCCGUCCACACCCCAAGGCCAAAUUUCUGGUGAUGAGAGAAGAUUGGUUGAUGGAGCCCUAGAUCUCCCGCUGUAGAUAGAGAUGACAGCCGGCUUGGCGCCAGAAGACUGGGAUCCCUCCUCCAACAAAUAAUCAGUCACCAAGGAUAUAUUAUUUCCCACAGACUUUCCUUUAAAAGCCUCAACUCCUAAUGCCUCAGGAGGACUGUGGAUUUUGGGGCAUGUGCCCACUACAGCCUCAUUUUGCUGGCAAAAUUAAACCACUUUUCUUUUCCUCAGUCCCUGGUCAUUGCGUUCAUUGAUUCGGCUACGGUGACAGGGUCCUGGGUUUUUCUGGCUACAUUUCCUUGAUUUGUUCCUAAAU
Diceros bicornis minor is the source of this 914-nucleotide long non-coding RNA. RefSeq lists it as uncharacterized. The record is from RefSeq and is a predicted model, not a curated record. The transcript is spliced from 3 exons. Lineage: Eukaryota; Metazoa; Chordata; Mammalia; Perissodactyla; Rhinocerotidae.